RNAcentral lists this ribosomal RNA (422 nucleotides) under uncultured bacterium. RNAcentral describes it as "bacterial SSU rRNA". It matches the Rfam family "Bacterial small subunit ribosomal RNA", at positions 355 to 774 of the family's 1533-position model. The record is from RNAcentral.
UAAGGAAUAUUGGUCAAUGGAGGCAACUCUGAACCAGCCAUGCCGCGUGCAGGAAGACGGCCCUCUGGGUUGUAAACUGCUUUUAUUCGGGAAUAAACCUAUCUACGUGUAGAUAGCUGAAUGUACCGAAGGAAUAAGAAUAGGCUAACUCCGUGCCAGCAGCCGCGGUAAUACGGAGGAUCCAAGCGUUAUCCGGAUUUAUUGUGUUUAAAGGAUGCGUAGGCGGCCUAUUAAGUCAGGGGUGAAAGACGGUAGCUCAACUAUCGCAGUGCCCUUGAUACUUAUGGAGUUAAAUGAACGAGAGGUAGGCGGAAUGUGACGAGUAGCGGUGAAAUGCAUAGAUAUGUCACAGAACUCCGAUUGCGAAGGCAGCUUACUAUGGUUUUAUUUACGCUGCGGCUCGAAAGCGUUGGGAUCAAACA